CCCUUAGAUGUUCUGGGCAGCACGCGCGCUACAAUGGUCUUCGCAAACGGAUGCAUUCUCGAAGGAGAAUGCCAAUCUUGGAAUCUAUGCCUUGGUCGGGACAGUUGCUUGCAAUUUUUCGACUCGAACCAGGAAUUCCUUGUAAUCGUGCUUCAUCACAUCACGAUGAAUACGUCCCUGCCCUUUGUACACACCGCCCGUCGCUCCUACCGAUCGAAGAGUUAGGUGAAUUGUUUUGAUCGAUAAGAUUUGACUAUGGUCAACUCUCGUUGUGAAAUUCUGUGAAUCUGACUGUUUAGAGGAAGGAAAAGUCGUAACA
RNAcentral lists this ribosomal RNA (319 nucleotides) under uncultured eukaryote. RNAcentral describes it as "partial 18S ribosomal RNA". It matches the Rfam family "Eukaryotic small subunit ribosomal RNA", at positions 1470 to 1796 of the family's 1831-position model. The record is from RNAcentral.